RNAcentral lists this transfer RNA (71 nucleotides) under Paralaudakia stoliczkana (Mongolia rock agama). RNAcentral's name for it is "tRNA-Gln". Lineage: Eukaryota; Metazoa; Chordata; Lepidosauria; Squamata; Agamidae. The record is from RNAcentral.
CUAGAGAGAGAGGACUCGAACCCCCAUCAAAAAAUCCAAAAUUUUCCGUAUUUCCAUUAUACUACUCACUA